GACAGAGGGUGCUAGCGUUGUUCGGAAUGACUGGGCGUAAAGGGCGCGUAGGCGGUUUUUCAAGUCAGAUGUGAAAGCCCUGGGCUUAACCUGGGAACUGCAUUUGAUACUGGAUGACUGGAGUGCGAGAGAGGAAAGCGGAAUUCCUAGUGUAGAGGUGAAAUUCGUAGAUAUUAGGAGGAACACCAGAGGCGAAGGCGGCUUUCUGGCUCGCAACUGACGCUGAGGCGCGAAAGCGUGGGGAGCAAACAGG
RNAcentral lists this ribosomal RNA (253 nucleotides) under uncultured prokaryote. Its description in RNAcentral is "partial 16S ribosomal RNA". It matches the Rfam family "Bacterial small subunit ribosomal RNA", at positions 524 to 776 of the family's 1533-position model. The record is from RNAcentral.